Molecule: ribosomal RNA, 720 nt
Filed under: Vibrio sp.
Lineage: Bacteria; Pseudomonadati; Pseudomonadota; Gammaproteobacteria; Vibrionales; Vibrionaceae
Description: bacterial SSU rRNA
Rfam family: Bacterial small subunit ribosomal RNA
Source: RNAcentral
GUCGAGCGGCAGCGAGCAUAAACAGAACCUUCGGGGUGACACUUUAUACGGCGGCGCAGCGGCGGACGGGUGAGUAAUGCCUGGGAAAUUGCCCUGAUGUGGGGGAUAACCAUUGGAAACGAUGGCUAAUACCGCAUGAUAGCUUCGGCUCAAAGAGGGGGACCUUCGGGCCUCUCGCGUCAGGAUAUGCCCAGGUGGGAUUAGCUAGUUGGUGAGGUAAGGGCUCACCAAGGCAACGAUCCCUAGCUGGUCUGAGAGGAUGAUCAGCCACACUGGGACUGAGACACGGCCCAGACUCCUACGGGAGGCAGCAGUGGGGAAUAUUGCACAAUGGGCGCAAGCCUGAUGCAGCCAUGCCGCGUGUGUGAAGAAGGCCUUCGGGUUGUAAAGCACUUUCAGCAGUGAGGAAGGCAAUGUAUUUAAUAGAUGCAUUGUUUGACGUUAGCUGCAGAAGAAGCACCGGCUAACUCCGUGCCAGCAGCCGCGGUAAUACGGAGGGUGCGAGCGUUAAUCGGAAUUACUGGGCGUAAAGCGCAUGCAGGUGGUUUGUUAAGUCAGAUGUGAAAGCCCGGGGCUCAACCUCGGAAUAGCAUUUGAAACUGGCAGGCUAGAGUACUGUAGAGGGGGGUAGAAUUUCAGGUGUAGCGGUGAAAUGCGUAGAGAUCUGAGGGAAUACCGGGUGGCGAAGGCGGCCCCCCUGUACAGAUACUGACACUCAUA